Molecule: ribosomal RNA, 557 nt
Filed under: Fusarium graminearum
Lineage: Eukaryota; Fungi; Ascomycota; Sordariomycetes; Hypocreales; Nectriaceae
Description: eukaryotic LSU rRNA
Rfam family: 5.8S ribosomal RNA (bases 190-343)
Source: RNAcentral
AGCCUUUUCGGUCUCGUUGGUGACCAGCGGAGGGAUCAUUACCGAGUUUACAACUCCCAAACCCCUGUGAACAUACCUUAUGUUGCCUCGGCGGAUCAGCCCGCGCCCCGUAAAAAGGGACGGCCCGCCGCAGGAACCCUAAACUCUGUUUUUAGUGGAACUUCUGAGUAUAAAAAACAAAUAAAUCAAAACUUUCAACAACGGAUCUCUUGGUUCUGGCAUCGAUGAAGAACGCAGCAAAAUGCGAUAAGUAAUGUGAAUUGCAGAAUUCAGUGAAUCAUCGAAUCUUUGAACGCACAUUGCGCCCGCCAGUAUUCUGGCGGGCAUGCCUGUUCGAGCGUCAUUUCAACCCUCAAGCCCAGCUUGGUGUUGGGAGCUGCAGUCCUGCUGCACUCCCCAAAUACAUUGGCGGUCACGUCGAGCUUCCAUAGCGUAGUAAUUUACACAUCGUUACUGGUAAUCGUCGCGGCCACGCCGUUAAACCCCAACUUCUGAAUGUUGACCUCGGAUCAGGUAGGAAUACCCGCUGAACUUAAGCAUAUCAAUAAGCGGAGGAA